This is a long non-coding RNA of Hydra vulgaris (swiftwater hydra), 798 nucleotides long. RefSeq annotates it as nucleoredoxin-like protein 2. The record is from RefSeq and is a predicted model, not a curated record. NCBI's taxonomy places the organism in Eukaryota, Metazoa, Cnidaria, Hydrozoa, Anthoathecata, Hydridae.
UCAAAAAACUUUAGACAAUUUACAAAAAAUAAAGAUAUUGAUAUUUUUAUCAAGUUAGAAAUAAAUACUUUUAAAAAUAAAACACAGCAGUUGAUCAAUAUUGGAAAAAAUGGAUUCUUUGUCUGGAGUGACUUUAUUCAAAGUUGAUGGCUCUAGUGGCUUAGCAGACAACAUACUUAGUGAAAAGGAAUUUGUGCUUUAUUAUUUCUCAGCUCAUUGGUGUCCUCCUUGCAGAGAGUUUACACCUGUGUUAAAAGAAUUUUAUGAAGUUGUAAACGAUUCUGGUGUAGAAGUUAUAUUCAUAUCUUCUGAUGAAACCCACGAAGAUAUGAUAAACUACAUGAAGGAAGCUCAUGGUGAUUGGUAUUGUGUGGAAUAUGAAUCUGAUUUAGUGUAUCAACUAAAGGAAAAAUUUGAUGUCAACUCAAUACCUAAAUUGAUUGUUUGUAGAAAGGAUGGGUCUCUUGUUACGGCCAAUGGUCGUAAUGAUGUCUCUGAAAAAGAACCAUCAACAGCCGUUGCUGAUUGGAGAAAUUAAAGUUUAUUUUUUAAGCCCAUUUUAGGCGCCUGUAUUUUAGAAACGUACUCUUAAAGUAUUUCUAAAAUGCAAAUUAAUAGUUAAAUGUAAAAAAAAAUAAAUGUUACAAAGUAUUCUUGAAUUAUAUUAUUCUAUGCAUAAUUUGUAAAUUAAUUAUUUAAAAAAUGUACUUCGUGUAUUUGCAACAGUUUGUAAAGUAAAUAACUUAAAAGUGAUGUAAAGUUUUUAAGAAGAAAAAUUUGCGUUUGAGCACUAACUUA